AGGCUAAGAAAUAAGUAUUGAGGUACAAACUGAACAGUUUGUUUCCCCAAAGCCUAGACCUCUGAUUGUGAUUGUGGGCAUUGGUACAGUCUUGACAUGAGUUUAAUAUAGUCCUGUUUGACUCAGUCAUACCAGCAAAGCAGGGGGCUCAGAUCACCAUCUCUUGUCUAUUCUAUAUUCUCAAGGUUUUUAAUACUUGUCCCCUUCAUACCAUUACCACUACUAUCUCCAUGUCCUUUGCUCACUUGCCACCUGGAUUCCUAUCUGAUCUCCCUUCUGAAAUCUCUUCUAUGUCCAAUAUCCUCCAAUGACUUUUCCUUACUGAAUGACUUAAUGGGUAAAUUAGUCUCUUGGUGCAUCACUUUUAUCCUAUCACUCCUUAGUUCAAAAAUCUUGAAUGGUUCCUAAACAGUAACUUCUAAUUGCAUCAUUCAAGGACCUCAGAUCCGGUUCCAAUCUAUCUUUCCAACUUGAUCUUCUACCAUUCUCUAACACAUUUUCCAUGUGCCAACUAAAUGUGUCUUUAUCAUCCUUGGCUCCCUUUACCCAUGCUUUUUUCUUGGAUGCCCUCAUCCUAUUUCUGCCUGUCAAAAUCCUCCUUAUUUAAGGCUUAACUCCAAUGCCACAUUCUCCAUGAAGUCUUCCCUAAUUGCUCCUACAUCUGGCUCUCAUCCAGGAGUGACUUUUUCCUCUCUCUGAAAUUUGUAACACCUUUUAUACCAAGCCAUGAAAUACUGCUUUGUAUUGUAGCUAUGAUUGUGUAUAUCUAAUUCUUUUUGGCUAGAUGGCAUAUCCCCUUGAGAAAAGAAAUCAUGUCUUAUUCAUCUUUAGUGGUUGAUACCCCAUACCCAAGCCUGGCAAAGUGGCUUGCAUACGAAUUUUUCAGGAUCUUGUAGGAGCAGCACUUCCCUCCAGGUUGGCACUAUACCUACUGUCCUGAAGAAAUGGCCCUCCUAAGAACCCCCCUGGAGUUAGAUUUUUUCCUCAGUGUUGACAAAUGGAGGGAGCAAAGGCCCAUUGGCCUUUGGGAUGGUUUACUCUAUAAACAACCCUCCUCAAACAGAGGUUCCCCCUUCCAGCAACCAGGAAGGCAGUCAUUAUCUCAGGGCUCCAGCUCCGACGGUUCAUGAGGAAGUAGCCAGCCGUGCCCAGAGCUGCCAACAGAAGACCUGAGGUGACCAAGGCAAUCAGUGUUUUUCGG
Long non-coding RNA from Antechinus flavipes (yellow-footed antechinus), 1201 nucleotides. RefSeq lists it as uncharacterized. The record is from RefSeq and is a predicted model, not a curated record. Lineage: Eukaryota; Metazoa; Chordata; Mammalia; Dasyuromorphia; Dasyuridae. The transcript has 3 exons.